Molecule: long non-coding RNA, 1048 nt
Organism: Vigna angularis (adzuki bean)
Lineage: Eukaryota; Viridiplantae; Streptophyta; Magnoliopsida; Fabales; Fabaceae
Exons: 3
Source: RefSeq, a predicted model, not a curated record
AUAAUAUAUUUUAAGAGGGGUUUUUUUUCGGCGGCUGCAUAAACCCCUGAUAAAUUUUGGGCGGUUCUCUGAUGAAUCGACCGUAACAACUAAAUAUUUUUCGAGUUCAUUCCCCUUCCUCGCGAGACUUCAUUCACUUUUCUCUCCCACAGUCAUUGAAGUCAUUUUCCCCCAACCCCACCCAUUCCCCGCGCCAUUUAUUCACGAACCUUCAUUCACGUUUCUCUCCCUCAGCCUCUAUGUACUCAUUUUUUUUUUCAAUCAUACUCCUUCCCCGCACCUUUUAUUCAUGUUUUUUGGACUUCAAAUAGAGUUUGGAGUAUUCGCGCUAGGAGCAUGGCAAGGAGGAAGUUUUUGUCUCCUCCGUUUUGGGUUCAGAUCAUGGGAUCUUCCGUAAUUCUUCUAAUUUCAUCUAAUUUCUUCAACGUUCGUAAUUCCUUCUCAAAUUCUUCUCAUUUCUUCAUCAUCACUCUCUCUCUGAGGUAGGUUUUUCACUCUUCGCUUUCUCUUCUUCGCACUAAUGGUCGCCACACGCCUCCUUCCUUUUCCCCUCUCGCACCACCUGCGCCUCUCUCCUCCGUGAAUUACAGUCGUCUCUGACUAUUAGGUUUUGAGAGAGAAAGAAAUAAAAGCAUGAAGGCAAAGAGAAAAGGGGAAAACACUCUUCACACUCAGAUCUGAAAGAACAAGCACCAGGGAACGAUGAAGGUGGGAAACCAGAGAAAGAGGAAGUCACACACACUCUAAAAGGUUGAAAAGCAGAUGGAGCAAGUGCAGAUUAAACCAAAUGUAGAAAUCUGUCUCAAUGAUUUGAAGCUUGUUCUUGGACCAGAGUUGAAGAUAGUUUAUCCUUUGAUUCUUAAUUUCAGUGUAAGUGGAUAAUAUUAGUUUGAUGCAACACUUGGAUUUUGAACCAGUUCAAACUGAACGACCAGGAGAGUUAAUUGCUUACUACAAAAUUGCACGUAAGAGUAUUUUUAUGUUUUCCUGUUAUGUGUUCUCUUUUUGAAAGGAAUAUUUAAUUGAUACAUUUAUCAGGUCAUUACAA